Peromyscus leucopus (white-footed mouse) is the source of this 1211-nucleotide long non-coding RNA. RefSeq lists it as uncharacterized. The record is from RefSeq and is a predicted model, not a curated record. Lineage: Eukaryota; Metazoa; Chordata; Mammalia; Rodentia; Cricetidae. The transcript is spliced from 4 exons.
GCCCUGUUCCUGAACUUUCAGCUCAUCAGAGGCAUCCUUGCCCAACCUGGCUCCUAUUGAUCUUGUCAAACACUGGGAAUGAUGGGAGAAGGUGGCAAACCAAGGACUUCCUCCCCACCAGGAAUCCACACCCCUCUCCCACCUGAGACGGGAGACGAGCCAAAGUCAAAUUCUCAGUUAGCCAAGCGUGGGCUUCGCGAAACCAGAGUCAGAUUGGAAGAAGAUGAGCUGCUCUUGAAGUCCUUGCCCAGCACAGCCCUGCACGCCCUCCUGAGCCACCUCCUGGCAGUGGGGCUGAGAUGUACAAGCUCCUCCCCUCUGUCCUCGCCUCAUCUCGGGUUCCAGCCCACCACCAUCUGGCUGUGUCCACUUGCCCAGAACUGCACAGCUACCAAAGGGCACAGCUGGAACUAAGGGUCACUAAUGACAACCAUAUUGGCACUUGUAAACGGUACUGGACCCCUGCUUCCAAGACAAACCACCGUGCAAGCUCUGUGUCCACUUACCUUGCAUUAUAUCUCAAUGCUUAGAAACCUAUGAGACUGCAUCAAUCAAUAUUCCCAUUCUACAGACGAGGAGAUGGAACGUCGGGGAGCUGCCAGGAGGCUCAGAAUUGCCCUGAUGUGCUCCCACGGCGGAGGUGUUCUGUCGCUGCCUGUCACCGGCUUAUUUACUGGAGUUUCCUUGGAAGGAGGAGAAACAGGUGAUGUGACAGGACCGGGAGACCGAUCAUAAAAACCUGGUGGGAGCGAGGUCUCCCUGAAGUGAUACUGGCCAUAUGUGGACACAUGCAAGCUUCAGGGAAGGCAUGUGAGACUCGCUAAGCUGUGCUCUCCCAACUUUGGAAUGUCGUGUGGUUUUCCCAUAAUAGAAAGCUUUAAAAGUGAUAAUAAACAAGCCUUCUAGAACCUUACUGCCUGCCUUCAACAACUUCUCUCCUCCCUCUCCCUCCCCUCUCCCCUCCUCCCAAGCAACCUUAGGCUUGCCUUUUGUGUUUCUUCAUUUAAAACACAAAUGACAGUCUUAUAAACCUAACUGAAUUGGAUAUGAGGACAUGAAUAAAUGUACAUGAAUCUUUAUACCAGAACGCAAAACAUGUGCUCAAUCAAGGUCAUUACCCAGAAGUAGUAAUGCUGAGGUGGUGACUUCAAACCAUCCUAGACGUGGCUUUGGAAACUGCCUUGUGCCUCCCUGGGUUCCCUAAUGCCCUG